RNAcentral lists this ribosomal RNA (253 nucleotides) under uncultured bacterium. RNAcentral's name for it is "partial 16S ribosomal RNA". It matches the Rfam family "Bacterial small subunit ribosomal RNA", at positions 524 to 776 of the family's 1533-position model. The record is from RNAcentral.
UACAGAGGUCUCAAGCGUUGUUCGGAUUCAUUGGGCGUAAAGGGUGCGUAGGUGGCGCCGUAAGUCGGGUGUGAAAUUUCGGAGCUUAACUCCGAAACUGCAUUCGAUACUGCGGUGCUUGAGGACUGGAGAGGAGACUGGAAUUCAUGGUGUAGCAGUGAAAUGCGUAGAGAUCAUGAGGAAGACCAGUGGCGAAGGCGGGUCUCUGGCCCGAUACUGACGCUGAGGCACGAAAGCGUGGGGAGCAAACAGG